This 1566-nucleotide ribosomal RNA is filed under the name Triticum aestivum (bread wheat). RNAcentral describes it as "partial small subunit ribosomal RNA". The record is from RNAcentral. Lineage: Eukaryota; Viridiplantae; Streptophyta; Magnoliopsida; Poales; Poaceae.
AUGGUUCAUAAUGCGGCAUUUCUUCCAUUGCCAGCGCUCUUUAUCAUAACUUCUGCUCAUUACAAACCUAUUAUACGAAUAUCAUCUACUCACUACUGUUGUUCUUUGACCAGCAUCGGUUUACUGUGGGAUUUGUUAGCAUUUUGCCGCAAUGAGUGGCAAAUAGGGGGUGAUGUUGCACUCGGUCGGCCAGGCAGAUUUCAGGGAGGCCCAAGGCCAGACGUGAGGAAACGAGGACACCGACCAAACGUGCUCAUAAUUACUGGAGAUACCCACCAAGAUCACGGUGAGUUAUCUUUCCCGGAAGACGCAGCAUCACGAGCGAGAGGGAGAGCUGCUAAACUAGAUAAACACACAACCUCUUUCCCCUCUCUGCUCCAGCUGCUCUGUUUGUCGUCCCGGCCGACGUGGUUUGACCUGUCUCCUCCGUCCGCCUGCUCUACUGGACUGUCUUGUGACCUCGACCCCCGGGAUGACAAGAGUAACCCAAGUCCCUAUCUUGAGCUUGCCUUUAACGAUCAGCAGUUCCGGACAACUACCAAGGAGAAUGAUCUGAACCCAGUGUGGAACGAGCACUUCUACUUCAGGGUGUCUGAUCCAACUUAUCCACCUAAACUUUCCCUUAAAGCAACUGUGAGACAGGAAGUAUUGCAUAUGAAAGUAUUUGUCGCUGAUGAGGCCUCCAUCCGAGCUUCCGACCCUCUUCUGGAGAUGGAUAGGGGAGUGCUGGAAAAUGGUGAAAUGAUUGCUGUGAAGAAGAUUGUAUUACAACCGGCCAAUAGCUACUGCUAUGAAACACUGAAAGAGGUUGCACCAUACAAUGGGAAAAUGGUAUUUGCAGAGAAGUCGGAAAUGCUACUUUGCUUAGAGUAUCUCCCCACCGGAAGCCUCAGUGAGUAUCUAUCUGAUGAAUCUUGUGGACUUAAUUGGAGCACACGCUACAAAAUAAUCAAAGGGACUUGCUAUGGUUUAUGUCACCUUCACGGGCAAAAAGAUACCCCCAUUAUUCACUUGGACCUUAAACCUACAAACAUAUUGCUCAGCGACGGUAUGAUAGCAAAAAUUGCAGACUUCGGUUUGUCAAGGUUGCUUGAACAACCAGGCACUAUUAUAACGUCAUCUCGUUUUGGAACACCUGGUUACAUGGCACCUGAGUUCUUUGAGGAAAGUGGUCCAGCAUUGUCGACCAAGUCGGACAUAUUUAGCUUGGGCGUAAUAAUCAUCGAGAUAAUAACAGGACGUCGGAAAUACCCCCGUGAUGUUACUGAACCAUCAUCUUCAAAUGAAUUUGUCGAGAUGGCAUGCACCGGAACCGACCACCUAUCUCAUGUCGACGUCGCCGCGAGACCCCUCAUUAGCAGCUCCGACCUCAUCCAUGGUCGAGAUAUAGGUAGGGCCCUCAUCAACAGCUCCGGUAUAGGUAGAGGGCUGAAGAUUUGCUCGAUCUAUUGUAUUUGCCAUGUGGUGGCGCGCAGUGGGGUCCGGCUGGCACAACUCAAAGGCCGGAGCUUUUCUCGUGAUUUUAAUGCCGCCAUGCAUUUGCGUUUCAUCAAAAGCGCUCAGUGA